RNAcentral lists this non-coding RNA (153 nucleotides) under Patagioenas fasciata monilis. RNAcentral describes it as "Eukaryotic large subunit ribosomal RNA". It matches the Rfam family "Eukaryotic large subunit ribosomal RNA", at positions 2830 to 2984 of the family's 3401-position model. Lineage: Eukaryota; Metazoa; Chordata; Aves; Columbiformes; Columbidae. The record is from Rfam by way of RNAcentral.
CUUGCUUGCGAUAGCCAAGCGUUCAUAGCGGCGCUGCUUUUGGAUCCUUCGAUGUCGGCUCUUCCUAUCGUUGCAAAGCAGAAUUCACAAUGUUGGAUUGUUCACCCACUAAUAGGGAAUGUGAGCUGGGUUUAGACCAUGGCGAGACAGGCU